AACGAACGCUGGCGGCAGGCCUAACACAUGCAAGUCGAACGCCGUGGCAAUACGGAGUGGCAGACGGGUGAGUAACACGUGGGAACGUACCCUUCGGUUCGGAAUAACUCAGGGAAACUUGAGCUAAUACCGGAUACGUCCGAGAGGAGAAAGAUUUAUCGCCGAGGGAUCGGCCCGCGUCUGAUUAGCUUGUUGGUGAGGUAACGGCUCACCAAGGCGACGAUCAGUAGCUGGUCUGAGAGGAUGAUCAGCCACAUUGGGACUGAGACACGGCCCAAACCUCCUACGGGAGGCAGCAGUGGGGAAGUAUUGGACAAUGGGCGCAAGCCUGAUCCAGCCAUGCCGCGUGAGUGAUGAGGGCCCGUAGGGUUGUAAGCUCUUUUACCCGGGUAAGAUAAUGACUGUACCGGGAGAAUAAGCCCCGG
Molecule: ribosomal RNA, 425 nt
Filed under: uncultured bacterium
Lineage: Bacteria
Description: bacterial SSU rRNA
Rfam family: Bacterial small subunit ribosomal RNA
Source: RNAcentral